AACUGAACAAUUAUUUUCUUUAUCUUGCUCCACAAUCAUUCUGUUAACCCGUGUCUCUCCCUCAAUCAUAUCAGACAAAUCCCUCUUCCUCUCUCUCUCAUCUUCUCACUCUCUCUCUACAAACCGUACCCUCUCUUCUUCUCUGCAACCAAACACAUCAUCCAAAACGUAUUACAUCGAACUGAAAAUUACCACCAUCGUAAUCCUCACGCCCUCACGAGUUCAUCCAUAUAAACAGAAUCGAAAACAACUGAGUUUCGAACAUCGAACUUGGAAGCUCCGACUCAAAUCAAAUUUUCCUGACGAUUUUCUGAUCGAGUUACAAAGUUUUGGAAGAUCUAGAAGCUACUACACAACUCUCCGAGGUCCCUUCUCUAAUUUUGAACCAAAGCCAACGUGAAAACACACGGAUUCGAGAUGUCGGAAUUUGAGCCGUGCCUUUUGAGCUAUUUUCAGACAAUAUCCGUCCAAUUUUUGGACUUUCCAAAGAAUCUGGCGACCUUCGUGGCUUUCGAGCCAUUUUUCGAUCAAAUCAGGACAAGUUAGCCAUUAAGAAAGUUUGUCCAGUUUUCCGGCGUGUUACCAGUUUCCGACGGACCAGUCCCUUUUAAGGCUUUUUUCCGGUCAUCUACAGCAACCAUUCGGCUUCCAAAUGGUGUAAUUACUAUUGAAGACUUCGACUUUCUUAGCUCGAAAGGAUGUAGCAUCGCAAGUAACUGUGAGUGGAUUUUUUGUUUUUACGUAUACAUGUAUAUAAUUGUAUAUGUGAUUUUCCCAAUAAUUACGUAUAUAUUUAUUACGAAGUGACAUGUCAUGUUUAGCUUCACAAAUAGCCUUUUCAUACAUUAUGUGUUAAAUAAUAUUUGUGAACAUAAACUUGUGGCAUUACAUCCUUGUAUUUUACCUGCUCAUUAUUACAUGGUUGCACGGUGUCUCUUAGAUUUUUAUAUUGUCAUGGGUCAAGGAUCAGCUUUACGUGUAGUUCACAUGCACCGUUUACAUUCGCUUUGGAUCCAGAGUUUGGUUGAAAACAUACACAGCAUAAGCUCGCAGGGUUAGCUCAAGUUCGAGAGCGGUGGGGAACACAUUAAGAUGGGUAUAGGUCAAGCAUUCAAUCCCUUCUAAGCUCCAAUGUAACCGGAAAAGAAGAUCAAAGCUUACAUUACAGGAUUAAUGAAACUUGGCAGGUCAAGACUCGCUUGGAAGAACAUUGAAGAAAUGAUAAACUUCAUCUGCGUUGAUUACACCUACCUCAGUUGAGCAAACUAAGCAGCAAACUUGCUUGACGGUCUGGUUACCUGUAGGAGUUGCUUCAUGCUCCGAAGAUUCUCUCCCUCUUUUGCCCUUUCUAGGUCUUGCUUCUUUUUGAUGCACUAUUUGAUCACUUCCAAUCUU
Molecule: long non-coding RNA, 1395 nt
Organism: Malus domestica (apple)
Lineage: Eukaryota; Viridiplantae; Streptophyta; Magnoliopsida; Rosales; Rosaceae
Source: RefSeq, a predicted model, not a curated record